GACGAACGCUGGCGGCGUGCUUAACACAUGCAAGUCGAACGGAAAGGCCCUGCUUUUGUGGGGUGCUCGAGUAGCGAACGGGUGAGUAACACGUGAGUAACCUGCCCUUGACUUUGGGAUAACUUCAGGAAACUGGGGCUAAUACCGGAUAGGAGCUCCUGCUGCAUGGUGGGGGUUGGAAAGUUUCGGCGGUUGGGGAUGGACUCGCGGCUUAUCAGCUUGUUGGUGGGGUAGUGGCUUACCAAGGCUUUGACGGGUAGCCGGCCUGAGAGGGUGACCGGCCACAUUGGGACUGAGAUACGGCCCAGACUCCUACGGGAGGCAGCAGUGGGGAAUAUGGCACAAUGGGCGGAAGCCUGAUGCAGCAACGCCGCGUGCGGGAUGACGGCCUUCGGGUUGUAAACCGCUUUCGCCUGUGACGAAGCGUGAGUGACGGUAAUGGGUAAAGAAGCACCGGCUAACUACGU
RNAcentral lists this ribosomal RNA (467 nucleotides) under uncultured bacterium. Its description in RNAcentral is "partial 16S ribosomal RNA". It matches the Rfam family "Bacterial small subunit ribosomal RNA", at positions 28 to 506 of the family's 1533-position model. The record is from RNAcentral.